This 981-nucleotide long non-coding RNA is filed under the name Bemisia tabaci. Its description in RNAcentral is "lncRNA ENSASIAIIG003119". The record is from RNAcentral. Lineage: Eukaryota; Metazoa; Arthropoda; Insecta; Hemiptera; Aleyrodidae.
CUGGUCUGAUAGAGGUCUGAUAGAUUCAGCGCGGUGUCCCGAAGUGAGGUUAGGUUAGGGUGUGGUGUAUGUUUCCUGGGACUUUGUGAUCUUAUCUUAGAUCUUUUCUACUUAAAGUUUAAGUUUCAAUUUUAUCUGUUUCGCAGCAUUUCAGCUGAAGUUCUUUGAUUUAAAUAGUGGGCGUGAGAUUCUUUCAUCACCAAAGUUCCGGUCAUGUUUUUUUAGAUAGAGUAAAUUAUUUGUGCGGAUCUGGGAACACCAUGGAUCCAACGAACUCUAUCUCAGAGGGAGUUUUUGCAUUCAAUCCAAAACCAAAAAAGAAUGCAAAAAAUAAAAAAGCACCGAAUGAAUUCGCCUUCUUCAAACACAAUGACUGGUAUAAGUCGUUCGAUUCUGUUUGGAGUGAGAUUCUCCAAAAAGUUGUCGUGGAAGAAAACAAAAUCACAUCUGAGCUCCAGUCAAAAGUCAAUAAGUUUGCUCACUCAGCCGAAUCAAGCACUGACACCAUUCCCACUAUAAUUAUGCUCACAGGAGUGAAUCUGUCCGACCACAAGCAAUUGUUCGAAAAUAUUGAUUCUUACAUUUUAAACAACUCAAAAUCAUUCACAGCAACUUUAUGGGCUGACAAAUGCACAAACAUUCGCAACAUGAUUGAGAAUCUCGUGUACCAGAUUGAAACUACCGGGGUGAACCAGAUUCAGAGGUACGGUGGUUUUUGAACUUAAAACUGAAUGUUCUCUUUUGAAUUUAUGUGUCUUUUAUUUACGCCUCAUUAAAUUGCAGCUCGUAAAGUGGUGUACGCUCCAUUCAAUGUUUCAGGCACAUUGCAUUUCACUAACCGUAAGAUGUAAACCAUGUAAUAUUUUCUGUACACUUUUUUUAUUUUUUUCAAAUAAAGACUGGAACAUCUAGGAAAGGAGAGUUAUUGCAAUGCUAAAUAAGACUCAAUGGGAUUAGAGAAUCUCAAAGAAAAAUAAGCAA